This 465-nucleotide ribosomal RNA is filed under the name uncultured Exiguobacterium sp. RNAcentral's name for it is "bacterial SSU rRNA". It matches the Rfam family "Bacterial small subunit ribosomal RNA", at positions 338 to 795 of the family's 1533-position model. Lineage: Bacteria; Bacillati; Bacillota; Bacilli; Caryophanales. The record is from RNAcentral.
CCUACGGGCGGCUGCAGUAGGGAAUCUUCCACAAUGGACGAAAGUCUGAUGGAGCAACGCCGAGUGAGUGAUGAAGGUUUUUGGAUCGUAAAACUCUGUUGUAAGGGAAGAACAAGUACGAGAGGUACUGCUCGUACCUUGACGGUACCUUGCGAGAAAGCCACGGCUAACUACGUGCCAGCAGCCGCGGUAAUACGUAGGUGGCAAGCGUUGUCCGGAAUUAUUGGGCGUAAAGCGCGCGCAGGCGGCCUGUUAAGUCUGAUGAGAAAGCACCCGGCUCAACCGGGGAGGGUCAGUGGAAACUGGAAGGCUUGAGUACAGAAGAGAGGAGUGGAAUUCGAUGUGUAGCGGUGAAAUGCGUAGAGAUGUGGAGGAACACCAGUGGCGAAGGAGACUCUUUGGUCUGUAACUGACGCUGAGGCGCGAAAGCGUGGGGAGCAAACAGGAUUAGAUACCCAGGUAGUC